GAUGAACGCUGACAGAAUGCUUAACACAUGCAAGUCUUUGGUGAAGCUGUGCUUGCACAGCCUAGCCAAGGCGGACGGGUGAGUAACGCGUAAGGAACUUGCCCUGCAGUCAGGGAUAACAGACGGAAACGACUGAUAAGACCUGGUAAAGUCAGGCGGACUCAUGUCCAGCCUGAUGAAAAGAGAUGCUGCAGGAGAGCCUUGCGUCCUAUUAGCUUGUUGGUGGGGUAACGGCCCACCAAGGCAAUGAUAGGUAGCCGGCCUGAGAGGGUGGACGGCCACAGGGGGGCUGAGAGCCGCCCGUUCCCCCUCGGGGGGGAAGAGGUGGGGAAUAUUGGACAAGGGGGGCACCCUGAAUCCACAAUUUCGGUGUGCAGGAUAAAGUUUUUGGGAUGGAAAAGUGUUUUCAGAAGGAAAAAAAAAAAUGAGGGUACCUGAAAAAGAAGCGACGGCUAAAUACGUG
Molecule: ribosomal RNA, 463 nt
Filed under: uncultured bacterium
Lineage: Bacteria
Description: partial 16S ribosomal RNA
Rfam family: Bacterial small subunit ribosomal RNA
Source: RNAcentral